CGUUUUUCUCCCGGUGUGUGGGAGGGGAGAAAGACGAAGGUCUGCGACUGGACAAGACCUUGGUCGCUGCUCGAGGUUGCUUUGAGGAGCGUCAGUUUACACUUGACGCGUUCUUUCUCGAGCUGCUGCAGAAACGGCUGCAGGAAGAAGAAGAAAUCCGUGUUGCUCCGGGGCGUCAGUUUACGCUUGACGCGUUUCUUGAGGAGCUACUGCAGAGACGUCUGCAGUGAGAAGAGGAAAGCCGCACUGCUACGGUCACUCCAGUGGCCUCCCUGCCAACCCACGGAGGCUCAACACUCCGCACCAUGCAACUCUUCAUAACCACGAAGAGUUAUGCUGCCUGUUGGGGGCGCCGCCGUCAACUCGGCGCCUGGAGAAGAGUCACUCCAGUGGUCUCACAGCCAACCCACGGAGGCUCAACUCUCCACACCAUGCAGCUCUUCAUAGCCACCAAGAGUUAUGCUGCCUGCUGGCGGCGCCGCCGUCAGCUCGGCGUGUGGAGAAGGCCGUCUGGGUGCUAAACUAUUCGACCACGAUA
Molecule: long non-coding RNA, 538 nt
Organism: Schistocerca serialis cubense
Lineage: Eukaryota; Metazoa; Arthropoda; Insecta; Orthoptera; Acrididae
Exons: 4
Source: RefSeq, a predicted model, not a curated record